GUUAAGUAAUAAUAUUUAUAAAGUUCGUAUCCGCAGGGAUUGUUUCAAUCUCGACAAAACAAUUGAAUUGUAUUUAGGUCGUAAAUAUAAGGGGGUAUGCUUGGCAUAUAUUUGGUUUAUAAAAUAAUUAAAAUAAAUAUUGCAAUAAUUUGACGAAGACUUUUUAAAGGAGCGAAGCGAUUAAGGAUUGUUCGAAUCCUCUCUGUAUCCCUAUUUGGUACUCUAGGUUCUAAUUCUCAACAAGCAAACUCUAAUAGUUACGAUAAUUUAACAAAAUAGAUUAAGUCCAAUUCCUUAGCUCAUGAUCCCUUUUAUCUAAUAAAGUACCCUAAUUUCUUAGGCGAAACUAAUAUUAUCAAAAGCGUUAUUGAACGUUAAAUUCUCAAUCAUACCAACUAAUUCUUUAUUCCUAAAACAAUUACGAUUGGCAAACAAUUAAUUUAGUUCUAGUAAUAAAACCUAGGGUCAGUAGUGAAUUAUUUCUUGAAAUCAAUUCGAUAUUGGCCAAAUAAAGAAAAGCAUUAAACACGAAAUUAACUGAAUAACUAUUAGUUUUGAUUGCAUAAAUAAGAACACGUAGUUACAUGGUUCAAAUAGUUCUACAAAGAAUCAUCUAAAACCCCUAAUCUGAUGAGAUUAGUUACUCAUAAUAAUAAUUGACAUAACCAUUAAGUUCUGAAAAUUAUACAUGAAUUAAUAUGAAAAGCACCUUGAAUAAGAACUCCAAUGGUGAAUUCCUUUAUCUCUCGGUUCUAGCCGUAUCCCUCUUUUUCCUGCUGUCUGCGUAAGUCUGCGUAAGUCUGCGUCCCUCUCCUUAGGUUAAAAUAGCUUAUUAUUUAUAUGCUUAGAAGGAGCAAUCACGUGACACCAAUAAAAGGAAUCCAGCCAGUAGCAUCUUGACNNNNNGAUGCAUGCUGACGUCAUGUGCGUUGUAAGCCAAAAUCGUGCCGCGAUCGGAAUAGCACAGGGACGCGAAAAUUACAGGAGCUGAAGGCGUGUCAAUGUUUAAAACUUUGGAAAUUUUCUAAGUGUUUUUACUUUUUUUUUCUUUUGUCUUCAAACAUCUUGCUACUGUAAUUUCUUCAAAUAAUCUCCUUUUUGACCAUGUAUUACUCCUAAAAAUCACUAAAAUUCUAUAAAAUAAUAAUUAAAAAUACUCAAAUGACCGACUGUCAUCA
This 1178-nucleotide long non-coding RNA is filed under the name Trifolium pratense (red clover). RNAcentral describes it as "long non-coding RNA (TPRA_LNC001649)". The record is from RNAcentral. Lineage: Eukaryota; Viridiplantae; Streptophyta; Magnoliopsida; Fabales; Fabaceae.